This 481-nucleotide ribosomal RNA is filed under the name uncultured beta proteobacterium. RNAcentral's name for it is "bacterial SSU rRNA". It matches the Rfam family "Bacterial small subunit ribosomal RNA", at positions 1007 to 1488 of the family's 1533-position model. The record is from RNAcentral. Lineage: Bacteria; Pseudomonadati; Pseudomonadota; Betaproteobacteria.
GGAUUGGUGCCCGAAAGGGAGCCUGGACACAGGUGCUGCAUGGCUGUCGUCAGCUCGUGUCGUGAGAUGUUGGGUUAAGUCCCGCAACGAGCGCAACCCUUGUCAUUAAUUGCCAUCAUUUAGUUGGGCACUUUAAUGAGACUGCCGGUGACAAACCGGAGGAAGGUGGGGAUGACGUCAAGUCCUCAUGGCCCUUAUGGGUAGGGCUUCACACGUCAUACAAUGGUCGGUACAGAGGGUUGCCAAGCCGCGAGGUGGAGCCAAUCCCAGAAAGCCGAUCGUAGUCCGGAUCGCAGUCUGCAACUCGACUGCGUGAAGUCGGAAUCGCUAGUAAUCGCGGAUCAGCAUGUCGCGGUGAAUACGUUCCCGGGUCUUGUACACACCGCCCGUCACACCAUGGGAGUGGGUUCUACCAGAAGUAGUUAGCCUAACCGUAAGGAGGGCGAUUACCACGGUAGGAUUCAUGACUGGGGUGAAGUCG